Molecule: non-coding RNA, 759 nt
Organism: Lepisosteus oculatus (spotted gar)
Lineage: Eukaryota; Metazoa; Chordata; Actinopteri; Semionotiformes; Lepisosteidae
Source: RefSeq, a predicted model, not a curated record
AUAGUCACGUUUUGAGAUUCGGGGACUCUCAUUCUGGUUGCGGCGGUUCUGUGAGUCUGUCACAACUUGAGCGCUUUCUUGGGAGGUGUCGCGCUUUUUGCGAUUGCAGCAAUGAAUCUGCGGUCUGUCGUCAGAGGGCGCACUUUCCCGAGUCUUGCAUCCUGCAGACCUUAAAAUCCUCAACUCACGGGAGUGUGCGAAUUCAGAUCUGCCUUUGGCAUCUGGUGUGGUCUCCAGGUAAAUGUGUCAGCUGAUGGUACAGGUACACUGGCAUGUUUGCAGAAGCAGUUGUAUUAUCUGCAUCUAGUGAUUAAUGCUGAAAACUAGUACUGUGUAUCUGAUGUUUAAAUUGCUUUAGGCACUGUGUAGGUGUACAAAGUGUCUUUGGUAUUUAAAUAUUUGUUAACGGGACACUUUUUUUCUUUAGGAUAAGUGCCUUCAGACUGCAUGGAGAAUGUAUUGUGCAAAGUGAAAACUAUUACUGGGGGAUAUUUAUGGCGCGCGUCUGUACCUUAACUUGUACGUUUUUUAUUCUGAAACUAGGUCGCAAUCCUAUGGAUCUUCAAUGCGUGCAGUUGGGUACUUGAUGCCCUCCCAGUGCACCUCCAAGCCACCAGUGUUUCUCGGGUUAAGGGAGUAACGACAUUUGUUAAGUCAUUGUUAAUCAGUUUUUUAAUUUUGCUGACGGGUAUGCCUUAUUGGAUGUAAUACCUUGUCUGGUUUCAUUUGACAAACCUAAAUAAAACAGUCUACAAAGUA